Molecule: ribosomal RNA, 627 nt
Filed under: Mycobacterium sp. So1Ps_792
Lineage: Bacteria; Bacillati; Actinomycetota; Actinomycetes; Mycobacteriales; Mycobacteriaceae
Description: bacterial SSU rRNA
Rfam family: Bacterial small subunit ribosomal RNA
Source: RNAcentral
UGCAGCGACGCCGCGUGAGGGAGACGGCCUCCGGGUUGUAAACCUCUUUCAGUAGGGACGAAGCGCAAGUGACGGUACCUAUAGAAGAAGGACCGGCCAACUACGUGCCAGCAGCCGCGGUAAUACGUAGGGUCCGAGCGUUGUCCGGAAUUACUGGGCGUAAAGAGCUCGUAGGUGGUUUGUCGCGUUGUUCGUGAAAACUCACAGCUCAACUGUGGGCGUGCGGGCGAUACGGGCAGACUAGAGUACUGCAGGGGAGACUGGAAUUCCUGGUGUAGCGGUGGAAUGCGCAGAUAUCAGGAGGAACACCGGUGGCGAAGGCGGGUCUCUGGGCAGUAACUGACGCUGAGGAGCGAAAGCGUGGGGAGCGAACAGGAUUAGAUACCCUGGUAGUCCACGCCGUAAACGGUGGGUACUAGGUGUGGGUUUCCUUCCUUGGGAUCCGUGCCGUAGCUAACGCAUUAAGUACCCCGCCUGGGGAGUACGGCCGCAAGGCUAAAACUCAAAGAAAUUGACGGGGGCCCGCACAAGCGGCGGAGCAUGUGGAUUAAUUCGAUGCAACGCGAAGAACCUUACCUGGGUUUGACAUGCACAGGACGUGCCUAGAGAUAGGUAUUCCCUUGUGGU